UGGGGUGUGGCUCACUGGUAGAACGCCUGCCUAACACAUGUGAGGUCCUGGGUUCGAUCCUCAGCACCUCAA
This 72-nucleotide transfer RNA is filed under the name Fukomys damarensis (Damara mole-rat). It matches the Rfam family "tRNA". Rfam says of the family: Transfer RNA (tRNA) molecules are approximately 80 nucleotides in length. Their secondary structure includes four short double-helical elements and three loops (D, anti-codon, and T loops). Lineage: Eukaryota; Metazoa; Chordata; Mammalia; Rodentia; Bathyergidae. The record is from Rfam by way of RNAcentral.